Molecule: long non-coding RNA, 2942 nt
Filed under: Sorghum bicolor (sorghum)
Lineage: Eukaryota; Viridiplantae; Streptophyta; Magnoliopsida; Poales; Poaceae
Description: long non-coding RNA (SBIC_LNC002822)
Source: RNAcentral
GUAAUAUCUGAAGGCAUACUGCUUGAACAGAACUGUCCUGAGGAGACCGUAGCACCGAGAAGAUAGUUAUACACAAAGAAGAAGCGCCGCCGGAACCAUCGAUUACGCCACCCAAUGAAUCCUAGGACGACUGAGAAAACGGAGAGUCCCGUUCGGAGGACUUAAAAACACCGAACGCCUUGCCAAGAGGUAAACGUGGUACUUAUCCUUUUCCCUUUCAAUUAUUUAAAAUAGUUUGCUUAGUUAAUCAGGUUCAUAUCAUCUUGAAAAGAAAAUAAAAAUGUUAAAAAUAGUAAGCCCCAUGUGAAUAUGCUCGUGGCAUAAAACCCAUAAGUACAUUCACUGUGGUGGCGUAAAAGUAAAAUAACUAUAUAUUCCUGUCCUAUAAAAAUGAAAAUAUAAAAAUAAAUUUAUGAUCCUACCAAAGAGAGUAACAUUUAUUGAGGAGGCUCAACAUGAUAAAGGCUAGAUAUUUAUGCUAACACUUAACUAGUUUCACAAAGCUUUGUUGUCUAUUUGAGCUCCAUAGAAUUCAAGGAUCAAAGAAGACUAGCAGACGGAGGACAUCCUAACUGCUGUCAGGGUGCUGCCGAAAUUCAAGUACACAUCCACCACCUGCUAACUACAUCAGAAGAAAUUAUUUCAAAAUCCAGCUUGGGGGAGAGCACCCCCAUUUAUCCAGCUAAGUGUUCUACUCACGUUUAUAUUUUUCUCAAAUAAUAAAAAGAUGCAUAAUCAUAAAAACCCAAAUAAAGAUUUUGUGCUUAUAUAUAUAUCUUUGCUUAGUUUGAUAAAUAAAUAAAUAAAUAAAAUUUGCUAUGAACCCUCAUGAUAAGCUCUCAUAUGGAAAUGAUGAAUAGUUGCUCUGACAUGACUAGUUCUCAAAAUUGAAAUCUCUCUCAAGUUUAGGCAUGACUGUUAUUAAUUAAGAUUUGCUCUAAACCUGAACUUGUGAGAAGAGUACUUGAUCUAAAGUCUAAGUUGUUAACGGAUAUGAUAUGGGAAGGUUGAGCUGUUGUUUAUCUGUUCCUAGAGAUGCUAGAAUUUUAGAGAAUUUUAUCUUUGAAAAUCUUUAAAAUAUCAUAUGAUGAGUUUCUGUAUGAUGAGAGUUUAAAUUCCUACCAUAGCCAUAUAUACAAGCUUGCUAGACUUUGAGCCACAUAUUUUUUUUUACUGCUUAUGAGCAUUGAGUGUAGUCAAGUUGUGUAGACCCUUAGGAGCUUGUCAUGUGGUUAUGUCAAGAUUCACUUGCACGUUCAGUCACACAUGCUGCUUCUACUCCAAAAGUACGCAUUCACAUAUAUCCACCCAUUUCCAUAUCCAGAACCACCCAAAAAUAUUCUACUCCUAAUCCGGGAGAGAAUAGCCAAAAACAUUCUCCUAUUUCUGUUUCCCCUGUGAAAUAAAUGCUCAAGUUAUCUUGGUUACUACCAUUUGCUACAUUAUUAUAAGAGAUGAGUGCUCCAAAAAAAAGAGAAAAAAAGAUACGAGGAAAUAAAAAGGGGCAAGUGCCCGGAACCUCGAAAGAAAAGAAAAAAAAAGUGAGACGAGAGGUAAAAAUGGACAAGUGUCCGAGAGUAGAAUUAGGGGUACAAGAUACCCACCUGAGAGAAUAAGAGAAAAUAUAGAGCAUCUCAUUUCCCUCAAAAAGUUUCAAAAUAGCAAGAAAGGUAUGUAUUCCCUCAAAAGAGCACAAGUAGAAUUAGACUUUCACCAUUGUUAUCACCAUCAUCACAAUACACUAUUUAUUCGCCACACAUGCACAUCUUGAUUGGACUUAUUGACUUGUUUCUCUGGAUCCAUGGUUUGACUAUGCAAUAAAUGUCUUGUAAGUAUGUAUUAGUUGUCUCCCACCUAUGAGCUCCAGAUAUCAAAACCUUAUUAGAGUAGGGUGAGACAGAAGGCAAUGCCACUAUGCCUCAUACCAAAAAUACCACAUACUUUGAGAGAAGGCAUACGCCAUUACUGCCUUGGUAUGGAUCCAGAAAUACCACAAAAGAGAGACUAGAGAGAAUCAUACAAGAAAUCUCUGAGUUUUAUUUGAAAAUAUGCAAAAACUUCAGAGCUAUAUUUAAUUGAAGAACAAUAGACAUGGCGCUUGACUAGACCGUUCUAUUUUUUAACUGCUCAAGACACAAGUGACGGUUGCAAGUCCCAUGGUGGAAGGUAAUAUGAGUAAGUUUAAAUCUUAAUAGUUUACCCUAACCCAUAGAUGAGAUCUUGUUUGAAUGCAUGUAUAUCUUUAAGGCAAACCACUGCAGAAACUCUUGAGUUCAUCUUUGCUAAGGGAUGAGAAAAGGUUAAGCUUGGAGGAGCUUGUUGACGGUCGUUAAUGCUCAUAUUUAACCAUCAAUUAAUCAUGGAAAAGGAUCCAAAUGCAACCAACACCUAGACUUAGGGUUUUCUCUGACAGAAUUCCACGAGUUUUGGUGUUUGUCUAUUUCUACAGGGGGUUAUCAGGAAAUACGGAGGAAAGGCCCACACAUCGGGUUUACAUAGAGAUAUUAACGUGCUGCACAAUUUUCUAUCAUCUAGAAGACUCCAUAAGCCAUGGGAAGGAAGCGGAGGCCGAACGGAGCCAGGCACUGGGCGCCCGUCCAGUUGACCUGGGCGCCCGCCCUCACAUAGAGUCCAAUCAGGACUCUCUUUCGAGAUAUUGCUCCACCGACCUAAGGGAUCAAGGAUAACCGUUCAAUCAAUGUCGGUUUGAUCCAACGGCCUAGAUUCAUUUGAAAAGACUAUAUAAGCAAGGCCCCCUGGCCCCUGGAGAUCAUACCUCUUCUACAAGUAGAGAGGAUCCCUCUAGUUCUUCUAGUUCUACCUCUAGUUCAUCUACAUCUAGUUCUAGUUCAUAUAGUUCUAGUUCUAGUUCCUCUAGUUUUAGUUCUAGUUAGUUUUAGUUGUAAUCUAGAAAAUAGGGAGAGAGAGGAGGAGAGUGGAGG